CUAGUGGUAAUCUCGCACUUGGAGCACCCGUACGAGUACCUGGUUACUCUGGUUGUUUGCUUCGGGAAGGUCUGAGAUAAGGCAUGCGAAUAUGCCUCAGCAAGGCAGCUCUUUGAGAAGAGCGUUCGCUACCAGCAAUACAUCAGUUGUGGAUGACGCAGUGUCCUGGCCGCUUCUUGAAAGGUGCAAACCUCUCGGUUUCGGCUCGGGCACUGAUUGAAAACAGCGGAUUGCCAGCCAUAUGAGUCAAAUAUGCGAGCUAUCAACCUGUGGGGGGGGGGGUCCGUCCUCCCCAUGGGCGGUAGAACUCAAUUCAGACUAAUCUAUCACUAG
Molecule: RNase P RNA, 333 nt
Filed under: Anopheles gambiae (African malaria mosquito)
Lineage: Eukaryota; Metazoa; Arthropoda; Insecta; Diptera; Culicidae
Also listed under: 1 other name
Description: nuclear RNase P
Rfam family: Nuclear RNase P
About the family: Ribonuclease P (RNase P) is a ubiquitous endoribonuclease, found in archaea, bacteria and eukarya as well as chloroplasts and mitochondria. Its best characterised activity is the generation of mature 5'-ends of tRNAs by cleaving the 5'-leader elements of precursor-tRNAs. Cellular RNase Ps are ribonucleoproteins.
Source: RNAcentral